GGCCUCGUAGCUCAGUUGGCUAGAGCAUUGGUUGUACUGAAGCCUUCCUCUUGCUGGCGUUGGUUUCAAUCCCGCCGAGGCCG
This 83-nucleotide transfer RNA is filed under the name Schistocephalus solidus. It matches the Rfam family "tRNA". Rfam says of the family: Transfer RNA (tRNA) molecules are approximately 80 nucleotides in length. Their secondary structure includes four short double-helical elements and three loops (D, anti-codon, and T loops). The record is from Rfam by way of RNAcentral. Lineage: Eukaryota; Metazoa; Platyhelminthes; Cestoda; Diphyllobothriidea; Diphyllobothriidae.